AGAAACCUGCCCCGAUCUCUGGGAUAACAGUUGGAAACGACUGCUAAUACCGGAUGCCAUCACACCGUCUCAUGGCGGAGUGAUGAAAGAUUUAUCGGAUUGGGAGGGUCUCGCGGCCUAUCAGCUAGUUGGAGAGGUAACGGCUCACCAAGGCAUCGACGGGUAGCUGGUCUGAGAGGAUGAUCAGCCACACUGGAACUGAGACACGGUCCAG
This 214-nucleotide ribosomal RNA is filed under the name uncultured bacterium. Its description in RNAcentral is "partial 16S ribosomal RNA". It matches the Rfam family "Bacterial small subunit ribosomal RNA", at positions 120 to 334 of the family's 1533-position model. The record is from RNAcentral.